Molecule: long non-coding RNA, 1166 nt
Filed under: Buteo japonicus
Lineage: Eukaryota; Metazoa; Chordata; Aves; Accipitriformes; Accipitridae
Description: lncRNA (ENSBJAG00000016049.1)
Source: RNAcentral
UUGUAAGGGGGGUGGAAGAUGAUGUCUAGAGGCUUUUUGCCUCUAACUAGCGUAACAGGAGUUAAGGCUGCUGGAAACCAAUUACUGGAGAUGUGUACAUUCACUGCACACCUGAAAGACAACAGAUAUUAAUCCUUACUAUCAGAUUUUUAAGAUAUCAAAGUAAUUUAACUACUGUUCAGAAUAACAUCUUAUGUAAAGCAAAUUCAUGGCAUGCAAUUCACCUGGGAGAGUUUUGGGGGUUUUUGCCAUGUGCUUUCAAAUAAUGCCUUAGGUUUAAAACCUUCUAAUUUUUUUUUUCCUAUUAUGCCUACUUUGCAAUAAUUUUUAACUUUUUUUAAAGCAAGUUUAAAAAAAAGGUAAUAUAUAGAAAAAAAGUUGUGGUAUGUUUAUUUCCUUUGAGGUAUGAGACACAGAAAUCAAAACAUUCUUCAAUGUUACCUCAAACCUUAUGUAUUUAGCAUGUGCUCCUGCUACAGUGGAAGAAAGGAAAAGGAAAAAAAUCAAGUCAAGGAUGCUUUUUUUUUUUAAUUAAAAAAAAAAAAAUCUAUAUUUCAAAACACAGGAAAAACCCCACACCUCCUCCCCCUCAAAAAAAACCCAAAACAAUCCCCAAAACCCCAACAAACCUUGAACUGUGGCAGAAACCUGUCAGGGAAUCAGUUGCACUGACUUUUUGAUUAUUUUAACACCAGAAGAUCUUUUGCAGAUUAACUUAAGAUCCCACUAUUCCAAAUUGCCUUUUUUUUUUAAAAAAAAAAAUACUUCUGAAUUGUUACAAAAUAACAUAUUUUAUGUUACAAAUAAGAAAGCAUAUCAAUGUAAAAAAAGGGUAAGACCCCCUCCUCAAAAGUCUGAGCAAUUAUUUGCAAGACACUUUUUCAGUAAUGAGGUAUACCUUUUCACUCAAAAACACGGUAUCAUGAAAGGUAUUAGUAGUCACUUCAGUGAUUACACGCUGUUCAUGAAAAUGGACUGAAGGGUCAUCAACAAGAUGCCUUUUCAAGGGACUGUAGAGAAUACUGUAAUUUUUUAUGAAGUUCUCUGAAAUGAAAUUGAUACAUAAUAAAGUUAUUUCAGUUUCACAAAUAUGUGAUUUUGACAGUUUUUACUUUGGAAUUCAGAAGAACUUACAGAGAAAAUACAAAUUCAAACCUGGUUUCACA